RNAcentral lists this unclassified non-coding RNA (229 nucleotides) under Hevea brasiliensis (rubber tree). The record is from RNAcentral. Lineage: Eukaryota; Viridiplantae; Streptophyta; Magnoliopsida; Malpighiales; Euphorbiaceae.
GUCAAUCCCAAAUACAAAGCUUUUGGCCCUUCAUUUUUAAAUAGUUGAACAAAUAAACGUCCCAUUCCAGUCAAAGGACCCUUCUGGCCCACAAGUUGCAUUUGCAGCCGAACUUUGAGUACGUCAGUAUCAUAAUUCCCAGCUGUCCCCUAUUUAUCCUCUUCAUGAACACUAAUACCUGUCAACAUUUAGAGCAUGAAAUACAAUUGAAGGCAAACAUAACCAGAUC